Molecule: ribosomal RNA, 254 nt
Filed under: uncultured bacterium
Lineage: Bacteria
Description: partial 16S ribosomal RNA
Rfam family: Bacterial small subunit ribosomal RNA
Source: RNAcentral
UACAGAGGGUGCGAGCGUUGUUCGGAAUUACUGGGCGUAAAGCGCGCGCAGGCGGCUUUUUAAGUCCGACGGUGAAAUGCCGGGGCUCAACCCCGUGCCCGCCGCGGAUACUGGGAAGCUGGAGACGAGUAGAGGCAAGCGGAAUUCCGGGUGUAGCGGUGGAAUGCGUAGAGAUCCGGAAGAACACCGGAGGCGAAGGCGGCUUGCUGGGCUGGGUCUGACGCUGAGGCGCGAAAGCGUGGGGAGCGAACAGG